UGGGGAAUAUUGCACAAUGGGCGAAAGCCUGAUGCAGCGACGCCGCGUGAGGGAUGAAGGCCUUCGGGUUGUAAACCUCUUUCAGCAGGGAAGAAGCGCAAGUGACGGUACCUGCAGAAGAAGCGCCGGCUAACUACGUGCCAGCAGCCGCGGUAAUACGUAGGGCGCAAGCGUUGUCCGGAAUUAUUGGGCGUAAAGAGCUCGUAGGCGGUUUGUCGCGUCUGGUGUGAAAACUCGAGGCUCAACCUCGGGCUUGCAUCGGGUACGGGCAGACUAGAGUGCGGUAGGGGAGACUGGAAUUCCUGGUGUAGCGGUGGAAUGCGCAGAUAUCAGGAGGAACACCGAUGGCGAAGGCAGGUCUCUGGGCCGCAACUGACGCUGAGGAGCGAAAGCAUGGGGAGCGAACA
This 407-nucleotide ribosomal RNA is filed under the name uncultured bacterium. RNAcentral describes it as "partial 16S ribosomal RNA". It matches the Rfam family "Bacterial small subunit ribosomal RNA", at positions 355 to 774 of the family's 1533-position model. RNAcentral also lists the same sequence under 1 other name. The record is from RNAcentral.